This 77-nucleotide transfer RNA is filed under the name Vibrio cholerae O395. Its description in RNAcentral is "tRNA-Arg". It matches the Rfam family "tRNA". Rfam says of the family: Transfer RNA (tRNA) molecules are approximately 80 nucleotides in length. Lineage: Bacteria; Pseudomonadati; Pseudomonadota; Gammaproteobacteria; Vibrionales; Vibrionaceae. The record is from RNAcentral.
CAUUGCGCGCUCGUAGCUCAGCUGGAUAGAGUACCUGGCUACGAACCAGGCGGUCAGAGGUUCGAAUCCUCUCGAGC